RNAcentral lists this ribosomal RNA (255 nucleotides) under uncultured bacterium. RNAcentral's name for it is "partial 16S ribosomal RNA". It matches the Rfam family "Bacterial small subunit ribosomal RNA", at positions 524 to 777 of the family's 1533-position model. The record is from RNAcentral.
UACGUAGGGUGCAAGCGUUGUUCGGAAUUACUGGGCGUAAAGGGCUCGUAGGUGGCCAACUAAGUCCGACGUGAAAUCCCCAGGCUUAACCUGGGAACUGCGUCGGAUACUGGAUGGCUUUGAAUCCGGGAGAGGGAUGCAGAAUUCCAGGUGUAGCGGUGAAAUGCGUAGAUAUCUGGAGGAAUACCGGUGGCGAAGGCGGCAUCCUGGACCGGCAUUGACGCUGAGGAGCGAAAGCUAGGGGAGCAAACGGGG